RNAcentral lists this long non-coding RNA (703 nucleotides) under Phasianus colchicus (ring-necked pheasant). Its description in RNAcentral is "lncRNA (ENSPCLG00000022014.1)". The stretch from base 373 to 634 matches the Rfam family "SOX2 overlapping transcript exon 3". Lineage: Eukaryota; Metazoa; Chordata; Aves; Galliformes; Phasianidae. The record is from RNAcentral.
GUAAAGAGUCUAUGACUGUAACAUGGGAGGGGAAAACAGCAUGCCUGAUUGCAGCACCUGCUUGCACAGGUAAACUUAAUCAGAGCGCCAGGUAUCAGCUGAGCUCUGUUCAUCCAGCAGCAAUUAGCCCACCUCAGCUGUGAAGAAUUUAGCUAAACUCAUCAACAGUAUUCUGAGAAGAGGGAUGAUAGGAAAAGCUGUGUUUAGACUUCAUGCCUUACCAGCUGGAGUGGGGGCUGCUGGUGUUGCCUUCUGUCAACAGGGUCUGUGGGGUGACAGUCUGCUUGGAAAGCUCUGCCUCGCUCACAAGCUGAUAAGGAGAAUAUGCCAAGUCAACCAGAUGAGUCAGCACAGGCAACAUAAAGGACCGCAGUUAAAAGCUAGGGCUAGGACUUGGAGGAUGUGUAGGCAAACGGAAGGAGAGCCGGGGGAAGAAAAGCCGAAAUGGAUUCAUUCUCCGUCCUGGCUGGAGGAGGAGAGGAGCGGGGACGUGCGGGCUGCCUGCAGCUGCCUCUGUCCGGUGAGAAGUGCUCGCAGCCCCGCGGCUGACUCGGGCUCAGGAGUCCGCGCGGACUUUCGCUCUAAGCUGCCAAUCAAACCGCUAACCGCCACCACCCUGCGCCGGCACCGACAUGAGCUGAGGCAACACAACCGUGUUGUGCCAGAGCCACCUCUGCAGCCCCCUCAGCCACCUCAGCCCUGA